Balaenoptera acutorostrata (minke whale) is the source of this 629-nucleotide long non-coding RNA. RefSeq lists it as uncharacterized. NCBI's taxonomy places the organism in Eukaryota, Metazoa, Chordata, Mammalia, Artiodactyla, Balaenopteridae. The record is from RefSeq and is a predicted model, not a curated record. The transcript is spliced from 3 exons.
AAUGUGCUAUCAGGGGGUUAUUUUCGAAACACCUCAAAUGACUAUUUCAGUUGUCCACACUUGCUGUGGACACAGGAUGUUAGGGAGGCUGUUUGUUCUGCCUGACUAGUUUUAGGAACUUACGGUAACUUCAAACCUAAAAGGAAAGAACGAUCGUUUGCGUUCAAGGUCUAAAGAAUUGGAAUUUCCGGGUCUUUAUUGUAUUUUAUCCUUUUGACUCAAAGCUCAGAUUCAACUCCUUACUCCGAUCCAAACCAAACAAGAAACAACUCCCUAAGGCAGACUUAAAGAAAAAGAUAUUUGGGAAAACUGCCCUCAAAUGCUGAGAGUCCCCUUCUUUCUCCACUUGCUCACCUUCACUCAUUUUUUAAAGUGCUCUUCCUCCUUGCCUCAAAAUCUUUGGCACAGUAGCUUUGAAGAAGUGGAAGAACAGUGAGCUUGGAUUCUAGUCUACACUCUCACAUCCUGGCUGUGUAAACUUGGAUUACACAUAUAGGGGGAGACCUUCAGAUGGCAGAGGAGUAAGAAGUGGAGAUCACCUUCCUCCCCACAAAUACAUCAGAAAUACAUCUACAUUUGGAACAACUCCUACAGAACACCUACUGAACACUGGCAGAAGACCUCAGACU